This 2276-nucleotide unclassified non-coding RNA is filed under the name Pomacea canaliculata. Its description in RNAcentral is "uncharacterized LOC112568315, transcript variant X5". The record is from RNAcentral. Lineage: Eukaryota; Metazoa; Mollusca; Gastropoda; Architaenioglossa; Ampullariidae.
UACAGCUGUUCACUUAAUACCACCAUCGUGGUUUCCAACAACCAGACACUUCUAAUUCUUCCGACAUUUAGAGAGAAAUAAAUUUCCUGGUUUGUAUCAGUUUCGCCUGAGUCACAGGGUAAAUGUCAGCGCUUUUGUUCACAAGAAAGAGAAACAAGAAAAGUAUCUGUAUGUCAGAAUUUUUAUAAGAUGUAGGUUAUUUAUCCUCGCGAGAACUAACAAAAUGUAUCUGAGGAUUCUUUCACUCAUCUGCUUGUCAUCUGUACAGUUGUCAGAGUCCAUGACACUCCAAAUCGAAGGAAACCAAACCAGUUUUACAUUUCCGUUGGGAGUUACGUCACAGAUCGAGUUCUACGUUCGCAGCGAUGAUUAUUUUCGAAUUUUUGUCCAACACAAGGCCGUGGAGAAGGACAAUUACAAUACGAUGUGUGUUGUGACACAAUCAGCAAGUAAAGUCUGUAAUACCACUAACAGCAUCUGCCGAUGUCCUGAAGACCCUGACGAUGCUUUCAUCUUAAAUAAAACUUUCCUGCAGAGUGAUGCCGGCCUGUGGGUGUUCUGGCCUUGGCAACAAAACAACAUCUCUAAGACAGUCAAUGUUAGCAUUAGUGAUUCCGCCUUGUGGACACAAUCGCCUUUUGUGUUAUCGACAUCACAAGCCCUCCGUGAGAGAAAUAUAAUUUUCGACAAAUCCCUGACAUUGCAAAUCGAAGGAAACAAAACCAGUUUUACAUUUCCGUUGGGAGUUACGUCACAGAUCAAGUUCUAUGUUCGCAACGAAAAGGAUUUUCGAAUUGUUGUCCAACACAAGGCCUCGGAGAAGGACAAUUACGAUACGAUGUGUUUUGUGUAUCAGUCAGCAAAUAUAGGAUGUAAUACCAGUAACAACAUCUGCCGAUGUCCUCAGGACCCUGACGAUGCUUUCAGCUUGAAUAAGACUUUCCAGCAGAGUGAUGCCGGCCUGUGGGUGUUCAGGCCUUGGCUACAUCACAGCAUCUCAAAGACAGUCAAUGUUAGUGUCGUGGAUUCCGGCUUGGGGACAAAAUCACCUUUUAAAUUACAGACAUCACCAGUCCUUCGUGAGACAACAAGAGUCCCAAAGGAUGUACUCAGCCAGACAACCAAAACGUCUGCCAUAUCAACAAGCCAAUCGCAGCUGACAACGAAAGAUACAACUAGCAUCGCCAUCAUCGUCACGCAGCUGACAAAGACAGAAAAAACAAACAUCCCCAUCAUCGUCGAGCAGCUGAUAAAGACAGAUGUAACUAGCAUCGCCAUCAUCGUCGUGCUGAGCUUCAUCACGCUCUUGGCCAUCGUCUUGACCUCGGUAGUCUGGAGACAUCAAGGUAUUAUCACGAGGCUGCGCCGACCUCCAGUCAUCCGUGAGUAAACAGAGAAAUUAAGGGAACAUGAUGUGUGAUAUGUUGUAGAUGUCCGUUAAGUACUAUGACGUCAUUAUGACAUCCGGGAUGUUAUAAUGACAAUUGUGACAUUUCGUUGAUGCCCUCGUCAAGUGAACUUGUAUUAGAGGUUUAUCACUGGAAAUAGAAACAUCAGGAAUAUUACUUGGACUAUUUUGCUUAAUCUGUUAGUAUUUAAGUAGCUGUGAUAUUAUUGUCAACUCUCGUGCGAGGUAAUUUGGUUGAUGCGCGCCGCUGGGUGUAGUGGAACGGAUAAAGUAUCCAGUCUCUGGAUGAACUAUCCCUUACUUGACAGCUCAUGUUCCGCGAUGACAACACGACCUUGCGGGUGAUGCUGUCACGUGACUCAUCCUCUCUCUCUCAUCCCAUCCUCUCCUUUCACUCUCCUUCUCCCCAAUAUCUCUCUUCUAAAGUGUGUGUCUCGCUGUGUAUACCUGUGUGUUUGUGUAUGUGUCUCUGGGUGUGUUCAUAGAGGCAAGAAACGCCACAAACUAAGAGAUAAAUGACCAUCAAUAACUCGUAAUUCUUGACCUUUUCAUGCGGAGUAAAUCAUUUUCGCUUGGUUUGAACUUGAUUUACCUGCAUUAGAUUGAUUAAGUACUGUAACGGUACACACUAGUACGACAGAAUGUUGACAAGUUACAGCCAUUGUGCCGCUGAAAGGAGAGAAAAUUUACCCAGAUACAUCACAGACACCUAAAGCCAUGUCAAAGUCAAUGUACACCCACAGGGCUGCCUGCAGACUACCUCUCUGAAAGACUAAUGACUUCACAAGUCGUUGGAAGGAAAGAUGUGUAAAUCCACCGAUACAGCACUUUCAAGAUGUCCAACUAUUCAACUACACAUCAUUUUGUG